Long non-coding RNA from Brienomyrus brachyistius, 1116 nucleotides. RefSeq lists it as uncharacterized. The transcript has 4 exons. The record is from RefSeq and is a predicted model, not a curated record. NCBI's taxonomy places the organism in Eukaryota, Metazoa, Chordata, Actinopteri, Osteoglossiformes, Mormyridae.
UUGGAAAGGAAAGAGAUGGUGGAGAAGCUGUGAGUGUGAGACGAAGGAGCUUAAUCAUGUGGGAGCAUCUUCUGGAUCUGAGCCCGGAAGACAAGCCCAGGCACGUUCUUUGGGCCGUGAUAAGCCCCCAUCCUCACUCAGGGGUCUGUCGCCGAAGCACUUAUGUUACACUGCCUGUCUGCUUUCUUCUUUUUUUCCACUCUGGAUAUUAUCAGCGCUGGAGGUUGAAGGACGGCGAGAUCGACGGCGCCCCCCCCCGUUCCUUGGCAGGUGUACUGCGACCUCGUGGCCGCCGCGAUGCAGGAUCGCCACGGCAACGCCGUGAGGCGCUCCCCGGCACGUCGUAGUUACCGGAAUCACCAUGACUCAGCAAACAACGGCCUCGUGAGGACCUUCUGGAAACUUCUGCUGGAGCCAGAGGCUGCCAAGACACCGGGCCGGGGAGGUGUUGCCUGGUCCGGAAUGCGGCUCUGAGUCACCUCAGGUGGGGCUGAGCGAAACAAAGGAGCAGACAUGCAGUCGGGCCGGUCGCGCCGGCAGCCUGCGCCAUGCAAAUGUGGACUGAUGGAAGGAAGCCGGAGGCAUCGCAGACGCCUUGGGUGAGAAACCUGAUCCAAGGAGAGCUGGUAUCGGUGCGGGUUUUUGGGAUGACCUCUCGAACAGCCGAUGGAUGGAUGGAUGGAUGGAGUUUGGCGGAUGAAAAAGGAGGGGAAAAAGAAAAACGAACAAGACCGCGAAGACGAACGGCGAGAGCUCACCGGCAAAACAACCUCUCUCUUUGAAGACUACUGAGGAGAGAAUCGGACUUCCAGCAGGAUAUAGGUCUGUGACGUCACAGGUUGGCAUGGAAUUUUCGGCAACGCUGAGAAUCACAAGAUUCUAUACCACACAUCUCGUUGGGGGUAAUAAAUCAUGUGGAAUGCUAGUAGUUCUCUGGCACCUGUUGAUGUAUCCUCUGUCAUUUCUAUCCUCUGGGCUCCCCUGUGCCAACCAUGCUCCAUGUGCUUAGUCCCUUGCAACUCGCGUAUGCCAUCUGUCCCUGCAGUGCAUAAUGCCCCCUCAUAAGCCAAGAUAAAUCACCCCCCAGCCAACUAAAGCGGGACAAGUAUGGAUUGG